AGAGUUUGAUCCUGGCUCAGGAUGAACGCUAGCGGCAGGCUUAAUACAUGCAAGUCGAACGGUUACAGCAAUGUGACGAGUGGCGCACGGGUGAGUAACGCGUACAUAACAUACCUUUAACUGGCGAAUAGCCUUGGGAAACUGAGAGUAAUACGCCAUAACAUUGUAGCUUGGCAUCAGGCAGCAAUUAAAGUUCCGGCGGUUAGAGAUUGAUGUGCGUUGGAUUAGAUAGUUGGUGAGGUAACGGCUCACCAAGUCAACGACCCAUAGGGGGCGUGAGAGCGUGGUCCCCCACACGAGUACUGAGACACGGACCCGACUCCUACGGGAGGCAGCAGUAAGGAAUAUUGGUCAAUGGGGGCAACCCUGAACCAGCCAUGCCGCGUGCGGGAUGAAGGCGUUCUGCGUCGUAAACCGCUUUUAGAGGGGAAUAAAUCCCGAUACGUGUAUCGGACUGAAGGUACCCUCGGAAUAAGCACCGGCUAACUCCGUGCCAGCAGCCGCGGUAAUACGGAGGGUGCAAGCGUUAUCCGGAAUCACUGGGUUUAAAGGGUGCGUAGGCGGUUUUGUAAGUCG
Molecule: ribosomal RNA, 576 nt
Filed under: uncultured bacterium
Lineage: Bacteria
Description: bacterial SSU rRNA
Rfam family: Bacterial small subunit ribosomal RNA
Source: RNAcentral